GCCCAGUAGCGUAGUGGUGAUCGCGUGGUGUUCCCGCGGCGUAUAACACCCGUGUUCACGCAUAGCCUUGUUCGAAUCAGGGACUGGGCA
Molecule: non-coding RNA, 90 nt
Organism: Tephrocybe rancida
Lineage: Eukaryota; Fungi; Basidiomycota; Agaricomycetes; Agaricales; Lyophyllaceae
Source: the annotation of a GenBank genome assembly